Long non-coding RNA from Humulus lupulus (European hop), 570 nucleotides. RefSeq lists it as uncharacterized. The record is from RefSeq and is a predicted model, not a curated record. The transcript has 2 exons. Lineage: Eukaryota; Viridiplantae; Streptophyta; Magnoliopsida; Rosales; Cannabaceae.
GCUGUUAGUGCUUAUUGCUCCACUUGGGAUGCCGAUAAGCCUUACUCAUGGCGCAACAAAUAUGGCUGGACUGCCUUCUGUGGACCAUCCGGACCUAGGGGCCGUGACUCUUGUGGAAAGUGUUUGAGGCUUAGGAAUACAAGAACUGGGGUAACCAUAACAUCAAGGAUUGUGGAUCAGUGCAGCAAUGGGGGCUUAGAUUUGGACUUUAACACUAUAUUUAAGCCAUUAGACACCGAUGGAAUUGGAUAUCAAUAGGGUUCUCUCCAAGUGGGCUACACAUUUGUCAAUUGUGGGGAUUAGUGAUGAUGAUCGAUUCAGCAGUACCAUUCUCGAAGAUAUAAAUCUCUUGGGAUGUAAUUAAUAACAAUAUAUAGCAAAAACAUUAUGCUUAUAUAUAAAUAUAUAUAUAAAAAGCUGAUAUAUGGCUUAGUUAAGCUUAAAGACAAGAGACUUAAUAAAACUUUUAGGAAGUUUGUUCCAAAGGGUAUAUCCUCAGCACUUGUGAAAUGUUCUUCUUGAGAACAUAAUAAAAUUUGUACCAUGUUGUAUGCUUUUGUUUUUAUCCAA